UUUCCACACGUGCUGCGAAUGCAAGAAAACGUACAGGUCGAGAAUGGCUCUAAAUCGGCACGUCCGAGAGGAAUGUGGCAGAGUUUUGUACACGUGUCCCUUUUGCCACAGCAUCAUGCCUAUGAAGUUCAAUCUGGUCAACCAUCUGAAGAAGGAACACGGCUGUGUGACUAAAAUUUGAAGCGACCUAAUCUCCGAAUGGUCUGGAUCGUCCCUCGAGAAUAAACAUUUUUUCUUCCAUACUGUAUCUUCUUUCGUCUACAACGACAAAGCUACAACGAACUGAAUGAACGUCAUUCGCGAUGAUCGCUACUCGGUCGGAUCAGCACAGCAAUCGUAAUGCAUAUACGAUGUCAUAUAUAUGAAAAGUGUUACACGUUCGUCGAGCGCCACGACAGUUUUAUCGAUCGAAUCACUAAAUCCGACAACAAGAAAGAAGCGUGACAUGGGUUCGACUCACUCGUUUCAACUAAAACGUUUCCGCUCAAAAUAUAACGUAGUUAACGUAUAUAUUGUGUUGGCAACUAAGUGAUUGCUGAUUUUAUUACUACGUGGUAUUGACAAAAUUCGCAAUCAAUUAGUUGCCAAUCCAAUACUUGUAUCGCGCAGACAUACGUUUCGUGGUAAAGAGCAGUCAAUAAAGUGUCAUCGAAACAACCACUCGUUUCUCGUUUGAUCUCGCCGACGAGGUGCGAUACAAUUAAUGUGAAAUUAUCGAAAUGUGCGUGGGACCUGAACCGAAUUAUACGUAACCGAAUUACACUACGCUUUCCUCUUUGCCGCGGCUCCAUCAUGGUCAUUAUCUUUCAUCGAUAUAGGGUUGAUCCGGUCAAAGAUGCCGUCAAUUGUUAGACAGAUGCACGCACACAACACAUACGCGCGCGAUAAUGCUCUCUUCGAUCCAUCGAUGAACGAAAGGACAGUCGUAAAUGUACUUGUUGAUAACGAUUACGUUAAUGGUCCAAGCGUUUGCCGAAAACAACGAUCGGUCAACUGGUUCUUCGACUUGGACUAACCGAAGUUUGUGAUUUCUUUCUUUUUUCUUGCAGAUUAUCUAAGUCUAACCGAGAAUCGAUAGCACGCGUGCAAGAAUUUUGGAAUGGAACACCUGUUUGGCCUGCUCGAAAUCGUACAAAUGGAGGAAGUCCUUGCAUCGGCACGUACGAGAGAGCCCGGAAUGUUGGCCCGUUCUCCUAACAUCUGGAAACGGCGAAUUCAUCCGACAGAUUCACUACAAAAUGCUUUACAAUGUUAACAAUUGAUCCGCCUCGUAUCCCAUGUCGAUAUUUGCGACAGUUGUAAAAUGAUUAAAUGGAUGCAGCCGCGCGCACCGUUCCUGCGUGGUUCUUUCUCUUGUUAUUUCGGAUAUCUUUUUAUAGAAAUAAAUGUUGCAUUAUAUUCUGAUACAAAA
Bombus pascuorum is the source of this 1411-nucleotide long non-coding RNA. RefSeq lists it as uncharacterized. The record is from RefSeq and is a predicted model, not a curated record. NCBI's taxonomy places the organism in Eukaryota, Metazoa, Arthropoda, Insecta, Hymenoptera, Apidae. The transcript is spliced from 2 exons.